GAAGUCUAACCUGCCCACUGAUAWAAKAUUUAAGGGCCGCGGUGUUAUGACCGUGCAAAGGUAGCAAAAUCAUUAGGUUUUUAAAUGGAAUCUUGUAUGAAUGGUUGGACAAAGGAAAARCUGUCUUUAUUUUAAAAAUUGAAUUUUACUUUUAAGUGAAAAGGCUUAAAUGUUUUAGAGGGACGAUAAGACCCUAUAAAGCUUUACAUUAUCAUGUAUAUUUGAUUGAAUUUAAAAAUAAAARUUUAAUKUAGUUAUUUGUUAUAUUGGGGAGAUAAAAGUAUAAAUAAUAUUAACUGCUUUUGAUWAAAUCAUUUAUUUAUGUAUWAUUAUAAUARAUCCUUAUAAAUAUAAGAAUAUGAAGAUUAAGUUACUUUAGGGAUAACAGUGUAAUUUUUUUUGAGAGUUCAUAUCGAAAAGAAAGUUUGCAACCUCGAUGUUGAAUUAAAAUAUCUAUAUAAUGUAGUUGUUAUAUAAGARGGUCUGUUCUACCUUU
This 496-nucleotide ribosomal RNA is filed under the name Parathelphusa sp. 4 SK-2012. RNAcentral describes it as "partial 16S ribosomal RNA". It matches the Rfam family "Bacterial large subunit ribosomal RNA", at positions 1849 to 2589 of the family's 2925-position model. The record is from RNAcentral. Lineage: Eukaryota; Metazoa; Arthropoda; Malacostraca; Decapoda; Gecarcinucidae.